RNAcentral lists this long non-coding RNA (2885 nucleotides) under Lupinus angustifolius (narrow-leaved blue lupine). Its description in RNAcentral is "long non-coding RNA (LANG_LNC001682)". Lineage: Eukaryota; Viridiplantae; Streptophyta; Magnoliopsida; Fabales; Fabaceae. The record is from RNAcentral.
UAAAAUAAAAUAAAGGAAAGGAAAGGAGGAAAAGGGGUAUCCCCUUCCAUUUUUCACGUAAUGAGAAGAAUAAGGGAAUGAAAUCCUUAAACAGGGUUCCCCCAAUUCACGCAUACCUCCAGCUGCAAAAAGAAAAGGGAAUUCGAAUCCCUACUUUUCAAUUCUUCCUCAUCCUUCUUCUUAUAAGGCUUCUGUUCUUCAUUCUAAUCCUCAUUCAGCGAUAUGAUCACGACAAAUUCGUUGGAGAAAAUUGAACGGAGGUUUGGUUCACGCUGGCAGAGGGGCGGCGGCGAGGCUUGCGAAGGCUGGGAUGAAGCCGUUCUCGGCGGUCCUCAGCCAAGACUACCGUGGCAUCAAGAGGUAAUCCUCUUCCUCGUUCUUAUUACCUUCCUUCAUCAUUUAAUGGUGAUGACGCGGUGGUUAUGGUGGGGUACGGUGGCUCGAGGUUCGGGUCGCGAUGGUCUUCCCAUUCGAGGUUCUUAUUUUCACGGCGGUCACCAAAGUAAGGUAGGGAUUCAGCUAUUCUCCUCGACUAAUUAUGAUUGAUUUGGGGAUGUUGACUUACCCUUAUGUCUCUCCUGCAUGCGAGAUUUCUGGACGAGGUUGCGGUGCUCAAGGGAUUCCUAAUAUCCCCAAAUGCGAGAAUCACAGUAUGGGUGAAGAAGGUGACCAUUGGAACCGUAGGUCAUGCGGUUGAGGCGAGGAGAAUCCGUAAGGUAACGUAUCUCCUUUUUAUUUGCUUUUAUGUAUUUUUCGGUGCUUAAAUUAAGGGAUGAUAUGCUUAUGACAAUGGUUUACAAGUUACGCCUUCAGACCAAUGCAAGGUCAGUGAAGGCUAACCGAUGAGGGACUUUUUCCGAGAGAUGAUGUCGGUAUGAGGUACAAUUUACUUCAUUUAAUUUAACAAAAAUGCUUAUGAACAUAUUUACUGUAUAUAUGUUAUGUAUCUUUUAUAUAUGUGAUACUGCUGAACAACAUACGUUUUAGCUUGCAAUUAUAUAAACAAAAUGAUGAUUAACUUACCUGUGAAUAUGUUUCUGGUCUUCGCUAUGUGAUUUAUGAUUGCCUCUUUUGUAUUGGUACGAUAUCCUCUGCUUUGUGAUAUGCGAAUGCGGGUUCUGGAUCAGUCCCUGAAUUGUUUGAUUUCACUACGUGUAUAAAUGCUCUAUCCUUGGUUCUCUCUCUGUGCGUGUAUUAUAGAUGGUAGUAUGCUUUCUCUGCUUUCUUUUUUAUCUGAUGGUUGUUGUAUAGGGAAUAUCUAUGCUUAUGUUGUCUCCUCUUGCUUUUGUGUAAUCUGUCAGAACUAUGCCUACACUUAUGCUUUGCUUUUUAUAAUAAUUUCUCUAUCCCAUAAAACUUAUCUCUCUCCCUUUUCUAUGUUACUUUCUGCUUGUUGCUUUUAUCACUGUAUGAUCUGCUCUCUCUGGCUGUGAGUUCCCUUCUUUUGAUAACCGUGUAUGAUAGCCCCCUUCUCUACUCUCUUGGUUAUUCUUUUAUGCUGAUUAUUGAUGUAACUGAAAGACUUUCUGGAUUGCUUCAGUUUUUUAUUCUCCUUUAAGGCUGCCCAUGAAUACUCUCCUUUAUGUUGAUAAUGAUGAUGUUUAACUGAAAAUUGGGAGCUUAACAGGUAGGAGUUUCUGAUAUAUAUAUAUAUAUCUUUUAUUGCUACUUUUGGAAUUCUGUCUGUUGAUAACCCAUGGCUGAAUCACUUUUCUGACUUUAUUUUGAUUACCUCAUGAUUGCUGCCCUUUAGCUUAUUGUAACUGAAAUUCCAAUAAUGCUACAUUCUACCCAUUGAGUGCCAUUUACUUGGAAUUAUGCUGAAUCAUACUUGAUUUUCGUUUAAAAUGUGUACGAGAAUGUGUCCUAUGAUUGCUUAGAAUGCUCUAUUAUUACUCAAAAAAAAUAUAACAGCCAUACUUUAACAGUUAGUUCUCUUCAAUGCAGACCCCUCAACCAAUUGUCUGCAGCUUCAGUUUCCAUCAGAAUGCCAACAACUGCAAUCCCGUAAAUAGAUAUGAUAACAUCAAGCCUAGAGGAUGUGACAUUGGUGUGAACAUCUGAUCUAGCAGCCUUAUGCUUUCUUCCAACAUAUAGCUCUUCUUGUAGAAAUGUAACACUUAUCAAAGCCGUGAUGACUGUUGCUUAGAGGUUUGAACAUUGCGCAGUAUAGAGGACCUCUUUCUGUGAUGCACCAGGUUUGAAUGAAGAAGCUGACCGCAAUUCCAAUUCCACUUCCACUGGCAGUGAGAUAUAUAGAGGCAAAAAAUUCCACUUGUAACAGUUUUUGUCCUUUGAACAAUGCCAUUGUUAAGGCUCCACUUACACAACAAACUAUCCCUAAUAUUCGGGCAAUGCUCCUUAAGCUUCUUUAGACCAAUUUUCUCAAAUCCAACAAUUGCUUGGAAAUAUGCAUUCUGAUUUGCUGUUACUCCCUGUUGAUCAUUCAAGUAGGAAUCAAACUUAGAUUUUAAUUAUUUAGCUUCUUGAGGGAUACAAACUUUCAUUGGUUUUUAAGACUUUUUCUCUUUGCUUUAUACUGGUUGUGUCGUUGGAUUGUCAAAUGCUUCGAUGAAUCAUGAAACGAUGUUAUGUAAUUUUUUUGAGUUUUGCACCAAAGAUAAAAAGUAAAGGCCGGACAAAAUUGAGUGUUCACACAUAUCAUUUUAUCAAGUGGAUGGUCUUUCUUGGUUUUCCACACCCUCAGACAAAUCCUAACGAUCCUCGCUGACUUCUUGAUCAUCCUGAGUCUCUUUGUCUUUUUCCAGUCCAUAGUAUAUACUUCUUCCAAAGCACCUGCAACAUCAUCAGACAAAACCUUUCUCUUAUCUUUUGUAGAAGAUUCGUCAAAAUGAACAUGGAUCGACUCCUCUACAUGCAUGGUG